Molecule: unclassified non-coding RNA, 254 nt
Filed under: Hevea brasiliensis (rubber tree)
Lineage: Eukaryota; Viridiplantae; Streptophyta; Magnoliopsida; Malpighiales; Euphorbiaceae
Source: RNAcentral
UGGCGAUUAGUAAUCCGCGUAUUUUCUUCUUCUUGCCUUCCAUGUUGAGAGUACGGACCUUGUCGACUUCAAACCCGUAAAGGGACUCGAGGACGCGCUUGAUUUCGAUCUUGGAAGCGGAAGGAACAGUUUUCAAGGCAAUUUCUUUGAUGUUGUUGAAGCUUGUAGGCAUUAGGAGCUUGAUCGGGAGGUUUGCGAAGUGAACUACUCUUCUUCCUAGUCUGCUCCCCAUCUGUUUUUGUUUUUGCUCCUUC